AUAGACAGCCCUGCCAGAUGGAGAAGUCUGGGUGGAGGAAACUCAGGGACAGGAGACUUCUCCCAGAUCUGAUCAUCGUAGUGAGUACCAUGCUAUGCCAGCCUCCCCACAGGUUUUGUAAAGGAUCAGAUUUCCCCCCACCCUGAGACAGGAUGCCACUGUGUAGCCCAGUGUAGUGAACACUUGGAAUACAAAAUAAAGAUGGUGGAAUGAGACAUUCCGUCUCCAGUUCCUAACAUCAGAAGUGAGCACCUGUGUGUCACCAGCAACAUAUUGGAGGCCAGCUGCCUACACCAAUCAGAAACAGGGACCACAAAGUCUGCAGGGGUGAGAUAGGCCUUUUCAGUGUCUACGAUUUCAUCAUGGACAUUACUGUCGAUUUCUCUUCCUGCCCCUGUAUGUGCGGGUCUAUCGCCAUCUCGCCAUCUCCGGCUCCUGUGUUAUGAAGACAGUCUCAUGCAGCCCAGACCAAUCUCAAAUUGACUAGGUAAACUGAGGCUGGCCUUGAACCAGUCCCUCCUGCCUCUAUCUCCUGAGAGCUGGGUAACAGCUUCUGGAGCCUCACCCAGCUUCGCUUUCACCACCCCAGCCAAUCCUGUGACUCCUCUUCAUAGCGAGAGCAUUGACACUUAUGUUCUGAGUGUGAAAAAAAAAAAAAAAUCACAUAGUACUUCCUACUAGAACCUUGCCCGGGUCAACUGAAGUGUGUGUGUUUGCUUACCAGUCUGCAGGUUUGCUUAAGUUUGUUUAUUUUAGAGACCAGGUCUUGCUCUGUUGCCUAAGCCAACUUGAAACUCUUGGGCUCCAACAGUUCUCCUGCUCCAUCUUUCUAGAGCAGCUGGGACUCUAGGCAUGCUCCACUACAGCUGACUGAAGCUUGAAUGAAUGAAUGAAUGAAUGAAUGAGUUACUACCUCUGAGGGACCCUCCUCAUGGCCUUCUCAACUCUGUACUUUAAUUAGUUGCUUAGAGGUGUCUCCAUGCCUCAGUUUCCCCAUCUGUAAUAGUAAACGAGUUCACAGGCGUGGUCUGUGCUUGGAGCAAGAACAAAACCAUCCUGGCCUAUACUCUCUAGGGACUCUACAGAGCCCAUCCCUUUGGCUAUCAGACUGUUGAGAUAAAGGUUCCCCCAGGAAUCGGAAUCCCCUCCGACAGGAGUCUCAUGCUCAGAGAAGAAAAAAAGCUGAAGCCUGCUGACAGCCAGAGAGGGUACUUGUCUGUCAGGGAAAAAUUCUACACAGGACAGACUGGAGCCCAGACUGGUCUGGGUCAGUGACACACGGCACAGCACACGGUGGGACAACCUGGCUGUGCAUCUCUCUCAAACCUCAACCUCAGUCUGAAGAUGGAUUGGGGGGGGGGGUCCCUGGACCUCAUUACUUGUCACCCUUCUCACUGUGGCCACAGCGAAGCGAAUACAUCUCUCUGCUUUUCACUA
RNAcentral lists this long non-coding RNA (1437 nucleotides) under Mus musculus (house mouse). RNAcentral's name for it is "tumor protein p53 pathway corepressor 1". The record is from RNAcentral. Lineage: Eukaryota; Metazoa; Chordata; Mammalia; Rodentia; Muridae.